GCACCCAGCCACGUGUCCUGCCCCUGGUGCGCAGGUGGACUGGAAAAGAGGAAGGCAAACGCAGUGGCUAGGCGGAGACCUCCCAAAUCCCACGUCUCCCCGAGAAUCCCCGACGGGCUACAGACCUAGGGCAGCCAUAAGAAAAAACGUCAGCUACAUCUCGAGGGAGUGGGGUGGAGUGCGGGCGCUUGCUCUAGUCGAGCCCUGACAUCGAUUCUGCGGGGGCGGGGAGGAGUCGGCGCGGGGCUGGGGCUGGGAGGGGAGUUUAUUUAUUAGCCAGAUUAGCCAGCAUUAAUGGGGGAGCGGUGGCGGCCGGCGGCAGCAGGGACAUAGCUGGCAUAGCUGGCAUAGCGGCGGGGCCUCCUGCGGCGCGGGGCUCCGCGGCUUCAAAGGGGCUUAAAGAGGCCCUUGGUGGCACUGCCACGGCCCCGCGGGGGAGGGCGUGGGCGCGGGCGGCGGGGGAGAAGGCGGCCAUUGUGCACCGAGGGAUUAGGGCUCUGGCCUGGAAGGAAUUUUAAACUGCCGCGAGCCGGAGCCCCAGGACUCUCCUCCUGCCCCACCCCUGCCCUCCGGAGCACGCUGAGAAACACUCUGUCUUCCUGCUUUGAGGACAGCUGAAGUCUUGCCACUUCUUCUGGAUGCUCUGACCAUCAGUAAGCCACCUCAGUCUCACCCUCCGCAGAAUGCAGGCCCACUCCGUUGCUGAAGGGCCUCCUCCUUGGGCCAGGGCGCCUGCUUCUGCCAGUGGCAUCAUCACCCCACUCCUCAGCCGCCAGUCAUCAGAGACACGGUCUGACUUUGUUACCCCGGCUGGAGUGCAGUGGUGCAAUCAUGGCUCACUGCAGCCUUAACCUCCUGGGCUCAAGUGAUCCUCUCGCCAAGGCUAGGAUAAGUAGCUAGGACUACAGAUGCGCCCCAUCACGCCCAGCUAAUUUUACAACUUCUGUAGAGAUGGAGUGUUGCUGGGUUGCCCAGGCUGGUCUUGAAUUCCUGGGCUCAAGCGAUCCUCCUGUGUCCGGAAUUGGUGGGUUCUUGGUCUCACUGACUUCAAGAAUGAAGCCGCGGACCCUCGCGAGUCUGUAUCCACCAGCUACUCUUCCAGAUUCAUGAGGCAAGGCCUGCCUGCUCACCUGGCUGGCCCCAAGCACCUCUUCAACCUGUUGCCACCGUCCUGCCUUGCUGCCCUUCUCAGCUCAUCCAGCAGGGUCUCCAAGUCGUGGAAACAGAAGCACAUAUACACACAUGCUCAUAUGUACAUGCCCACAGUCACAUAAGCACACCGAGAAACACCAUCGCAGACAUGUUCUCACAAGCACAUGUGCAUAACACUCACUACCCCUCACGCGUAUACACAUUAAUACACACACUCAUGCACACUCAGUCUUACACACACAGACACACAGCCAUAAUCACUGUUGUUGGUUGAAUUGUGCCCCCCCAUCCCCACCAAAAAGAUAAGUUGGAGUCCUAACCCCCAGUACCUGGGGAUGUGACCGUAGUUGGAAAUAGGGUGUUUGUAGAUGUAAUCAAAUUAAGAUGAGAUCUUACUGGAUUAGAGUGGGCCUUAAAUCCAGUGACUGGUGUCCUUAUAAGGAGAAAAAGAUUUGAAAACAGAGACAUGGAGACACAGAGCAGAAGGCCAUGUGAUGAUGGAGUCAGAGAUUGGAGUGAUGCAGCUAUGAGCCGAGAAAUACCAAGGUGCUGGCAGCCCCCAGAAGCAAGGAGAGAGGCAAGGAACAAUCUCCAUCAGAGCCUCUGGAAGAAACAGACUCUGCCAACACCUUGAUUUCAGACUUUUGGCCUCCUUCACUGUGCGAGAAUACGUUUCUGUUGUUUUAAACUACUGAGUCACCAAGUCUGUGGUACUGUGUUAUGGCAGCCCCGGCAACAAAUCCAAUCACACACACACACACACACACACACACACACACACACACACACACACACACAGCUGGCUCCAGGCUCAGUGAUGAGCUCAGAGGAGUUCCCCUUGGGAGCUGCUCUUUCUCUGUCUUCCUUCCUUAGUGAUUGGUCCAGUGGAUCCACAAAAGCUCAUGGCCCAGAGCAGGAGCCCAGUCAUUUUUAAUUCCUCUUCCCUGGAGUUCUUAACCAUGCGUUGCCCUCAAAAUCUGCUCUCAAGAUUUGGGUUGCCAUAUUUAGGAGCACCAGAAAACAUACAGGAAUGCUGUGUCUGCUUGCAUCAUAUUAAUUAAAAACUGGAAAUAACCUAAAUGUCCCAGAAUAGGUACAUAAACUGUGGCAUAUCCACUUAAUGGAAUACUACUCAGCAAUACAAAAGGAAAACCUAGUGUUACUUGAGCAACAUGGAUGAACUUCACAGACAUAAUAUUGCACAGCACGAGGCAGACACAAAAGUGUGCAUAUGCUAUGAUUCCAUUUACAUGAGAUUCAAGAACAGGCAAAGCAGAUCUAUGGGGAUAGAAGUCAGAAUAGUGGUUACCUCUGGAAGGUGGAAUUGACUGGGAGGGGCUUCAGGGAACCUCCUGGGGUGCUGAAAACAUUCUGUGCUUGCACCGGGUGGUGGUUAUGUGGGCAUUACAUAAAAUUCACCAAGCUGCACCCUUAAUGAUUUGUACAAUUUGAUGCACAAAUCUAACAUCUCAAGAAGAAUAAAUUUUACAAAGUACCUAAGAAGCAAAUGACCAGAA
Molecule: long non-coding RNA, 2669 nt
Filed under: Homo sapiens (human)
Lineage: Eukaryota; Metazoa; Chordata; Mammalia; Primates; Hominidae
Description: HSALNT0106495
Source: RNAcentral